RNAcentral lists this ribosomal RNA (496 nucleotides) under uncultured bacterium. RNAcentral's name for it is "partial 16S ribosomal RNA". It matches the Rfam family "Bacterial small subunit ribosomal RNA", at positions 30 to 523 of the family's 1533-position model. The record is from RNAcentral.
AUUGAACGCUGGCGGAAUGCUUUACACAUGCAAGUCGAACGGUAGAGGGGGCAACCCCUCGAGAGUGGCGAACGGGUGAGUAAUAUAUCGGAACGUGCCCAGUCGUGGGGGAUAACGUAGCGAAAGUUACGCUAAUACCGCAUACGAUCUAAGGAUGAAAGCGGGGGAUCGCAAGACCUAGCACGAUUGGAGCGGCCGAUAUCAGAUUAGGUAGUUGGGGGGGUAAAGGCUCACCAAGCCAACGAUCUGUAGCUGGUCUGAGAGGACGACCAGCCACACGGGAACUGAGACACGGUCCAGACUCCUACGGGAGGCAGCAGUGGGGAAUUUUGGACAAUGGACGCAAGUCUGAUCCAGCCAUUCCGCGUGCAGGAUGAAGGCCCUCGGGUUGUAAACUGCUUUUGUACGGAACGAAAAGGUCUCUCUUAAUACGGGGGGCUCAUGACGGUACCGUAAGAAUAAGCACCGGCUAACUACGUGCCAGCCGCCGCAGUAA